RNAcentral lists this ribosomal RNA (435 nucleotides) under uncultured bacterium. Its description in RNAcentral is "partial 16S ribosomal RNA". It matches the Rfam family "Bacterial small subunit ribosomal RNA", at positions 29 to 507 of the family's 1533-position model. The record is from RNAcentral.
AGCGAACGCUGGCGGCAGGCUUAACACAUGCAAGUCGAGCGGGCACUUUCGGGUGUCAGCGGCGGACGGGUGAGUAACGCGUGGGAACGUGCCCUCUGGUUCGGAAUAACUCAGGGAAACUUGAGCUAAUACCGGAUACGCCCUUUUGGGGAAAGGCUUGCUGCCGGAGGAUCGGCCCGCGUCUGAUUAGCUAGUUGGUGAGGUAACGGCUCACCAAGGCGCCGAUCCGUAUCUGGUCUGAGAGGAUGAUCAGCCACACUGGGACUGAGACACGGCCCAGACUCCUACGGGAGGCAGCAGUGGGGAAUAUUGGUCAAUGGGCGCAAGCCUGAUCCAGCCAUGCCGCGUGAGUGAUGAAGGCCUUAGGGUUGUAAAGCUCUUUUAUCCGGGACGAUAAUGACGGUACCGGAGGAAUAAGCCCCGGCUAACUUCGUG